RNAcentral lists this ribosomal RNA (253 nucleotides) under uncultured bacterium. RNAcentral describes it as "partial 16S ribosomal RNA". It matches the Rfam family "Bacterial small subunit ribosomal RNA", at positions 524 to 776 of the family's 1533-position model. The record is from RNAcentral.
UACGAAGGGUGCAAGCGUUACUCGGAAUUACUGGGCGUAAAGGGUGCGUAGGUGGUUCUUUAAGUCUGCUGUGAAAGCCCCGGGCUCAACCUGGGAAUGGCAUUGGAUACUGGCUCGCUCGAGUGCGGUAGAGGGUGGUGGAAUUCCCGGUGUAGCAGUGAAAUGCGUAAAGAUCGGGAGGAACAUCUGUGGCGAAGGCGGCCACCUGGACCAGCACUGACACUGAGGCACGAAAGCGUGGGGAGCAAACAGG